GGGAAACUUACCAGGUCCAGACAUUGUUAGGAUUGACAGAUUGAGAGCUCUUUCUUGAUUCGAUGGGUGGUGGUGCAUGGCCGUUCUUAGUUGGUGGAGUGAUUUGUCUGGUUAAUUCCGUUAACGAACGAGACCGUAGCCUGCUAAAUAGUUCCGCGAACUUCUUGUUGGCGGUCGACUUCUUAGAGGGACAACUUGUGACCAACAAGUGGAAGUUUGCGGCAAUAA
RNAcentral lists this ribosomal RNA (228 nucleotides) under uncultured eukaryote. RNAcentral describes it as "partial small subunit ribosomal RNA". It matches the Rfam family "Eukaryotic small subunit ribosomal RNA", at positions 1208 to 1456 of the family's 1831-position model. The record is from RNAcentral.